This 435-nucleotide ribosomal RNA is filed under the name uncultured bacterium. RNAcentral's name for it is "partial 16S ribosomal RNA". It matches the Rfam family "Bacterial small subunit ribosomal RNA", at positions 29 to 507 of the family's 1533-position model. The record is from RNAcentral.
AGCGAACGCUGGCGGCAGGCUUAACACAUGCAAGUCGAACGGGCAUAGCAAUAUGUCAGUGGCAGACGGGUGAGUAACGCGUGGGAACGUACCUUUUGGUUCGGAACAACACAGGGAAACUUGUGCUAAUACCGGAUAAGCCCUUACGGGGAAAGAUUUAUCGCCGAAAGAUCGGCCCGCGUCUGAUUAGCUAGUUGGUAGGGUAAUGGCCUACCAAGGCGACGAUCAGUAGCUGGUCUGAGAGAAUGAUCAGCCACAUUGGGACUGAGACACGGCCCAAACUCCUACGGGAGGCAGCAGUGGGGAAUAUUGGACAAUGGGCGAAAGCCUGAUCCAGCCAUGCCGCGUGAGUGAUGAAGGCCCUAGGGUUGUAAAGCUCUUUUGUGCGGGAAGAUAAUGACGGUACCGCAAGAAUAAGCCCCGGCUAACUUCGUG